This is a long non-coding RNA of Papaver somniferum (opium poppy), 1720 nucleotides long. RefSeq lists it as uncharacterized. NCBI's taxonomy places the organism in Eukaryota, Viridiplantae, Streptophyta, Magnoliopsida, Ranunculales, Papaveraceae. The record is from RefSeq and is a predicted model, not a curated record. The transcript has 4 exons.
UAAACUAAUCUCUAUAGAAUUGAUAUUUUUCAUUUCUUAAUAUUGCGUAUGCAGGUUCAGGGCUUCCAGAUUAUAAGAAUUGUUUGAUUAAAUAUGCACAGCAAUCAACUGUAGCGUUACCUGUUUAUGAGACUGUUCAUGAAGGGUUUAGAUGUACUGUCUAUUUGGAUGGAGAAGCUUAUAGGUCGGUUAACACAUUUGGGAAUCCAGAAGAUGCAGAGCAGGAUGCCUCGAAACUGGCCUUAGAGUCUAUUGCGAAGAAGAUAAAACAAGAAAGUAUUUCCAUAAUUAACAAGGACUCGGUAUAUUGCAAAUCCAUCCUCAAUGAGUAUGCAGCCAAGAUGAAACUGCCAUUACCUACAUAUACAACCACCCGACUGGACCUUCUUGCCUUCAUCUCUUCUGUAGUAUUUGAUGGAAAAACUUACAUUGGUCAUCUUUCCAAAAAUAAGAAAGACGCAGAACAAUUAGCAGCUCGCGAGGUUAUCAAUUCUAUACCAGGUAUAUAUGUGUGCUAUAAAAAAUCUAUUAGUUUGUGUGGAUGGUUCCAUAUUCUUUCUUUCUGUUGCUUAAUAGUUGUCCUUAUUUUGUUUGAAUUUUGUGCAAAAUUCAAUGUCUUCUUCAAGUGUUUGCAUUUUUUUUGACUUGCCAUCAUGAUCAGAGAUAUAAAUGUUUAGAUAGAUGGAUAUAAUGUAUCUAGACUUGGUUAACAAAUAUCAAGUCGUUGUAGUAUAGUGGUAAGUAUUCCCGUCUGUCACUCGGGUGACCCGAGUUCGAUCCCCGGCAGCGGCGUUUUUCAUUUAGGCUUGGGCUGUGUGGUCACUGAAGUGAAGGGUACUGCGUUAGGCUGGUUUCACAGAGCAGCGGUACCUCCCUCUCCUGACAGUGGAAAGAUAACAUUGCGAAAAACUACUACUUUGUUUGAAUAAUCUCACAUUGCGAAGGUUCCUUCUACAAGCUUGUGAAAAAAGUUGGGCCUUCCUGAGCUUCGCCAAAAUACUGACCAUGGUACUUCUGAUUCAGGGACUUAUCUUUCAGAAAUUAUCAGAUCUACAAGCAUGCUGUCUAAUGCAUCUCAUGUAGUUGAGGUGCCUCAGACUGCCUAGGAUACUUACGGGACAACGGUGACAAUCCCAGGGUGUAACAGUGGGGCAUCUACAAGGAAAAGGAGCGGACCCACAGGGAAAAGGAAACAAAUUCUGAACCCUUCUCCACCGACGCUAUCGGACACAGUAGGUUGCAAGUCUAUUCUCAAUGAGUACGCUGUCAAGAUGAAUCUGUCAAAACCUGUUUAUACAACGACCCAACUAGAGCGUGUUCCCUUCUUCAUCUCUUCAUUAGUAUUUUACGGUAAAACUUACACUGGUCCUCCUGCCAGCAACAAGAAAGAUGCAGAACGGUUGGCAGCUCGCAAGGCUAUCUAUUCUACAGGUAUAUAUAAAGCCUGUGCAUAAACUGGAUAAAAUUAUCGGAUAUCUUAUGUCGUGGAAAAGGAACGAAUUUGUGAGAUUCAACCAAUUUGGAGUCCCGACCAGUUUUUCAGCUUUACAAUGAACCUGCUUCAGUUUGUUUUCUGUUUUAACUAUUAAAUAGUUGCCUUUCUCUAAGAAUUACUCCAUGCAUUCUCACAGUUUUCACAUUUUCAGAAAGAUCUUCAGUUUCAUACAUAAUUCGAAAAUUGUUCUAUAUAGGAAUCAUCAAAAAAAAAAAAAAAAAAAAA